RNAcentral lists this long non-coding RNA (1572 nucleotides) under Homo sapiens (human). RNAcentral describes it as "HSALNT0163663". The record is from RNAcentral. Lineage: Eukaryota; Metazoa; Chordata; Mammalia; Primates; Hominidae.
GUGAAAAUACAGAAGUUGGUGCCCUUUGCAGCAGCCAGGAGUCCGACUCCUCCUCUUCCUGUGUGGAACCUGGAAUUCAAACGGCUGGGUAGGAAGCACGCUAGCAGGGGCCUCUGGCCUUGCUGAGGGUCCCUGUUUCCCCUUUUCCUUCCUUUUCACCCAACAAAACCCUGCUUUACUCACCCUUCAAACCAUCUAUGAGCCUAAAUUGUCGUGGUCGUGGAAUGGACAAGGACCCAGUCUUUAGCUGAACUAAGGGAAAGUCCUGCUUUUUGGCGCGCAACAGGGGAGCUCAAGAAACAGGCCUCACUCACGGCAUAUGGAACUAACCACGCCCCUAACUAAGAAGGCACACCUUAGUUGCAGUUAGCACACAAUUAAAGCAACUCUCCAAGUUUUACCUUAAAGUUCAAAAUUGCUAGGAGUUGAAACUACUAGAAAUAUAUUUACAUGCAAGAGUCAAAGAAACUUUGAACUAUUUAUGGCCUUUAAUAAUUAAGUAAGGUAUACUCCUGUGAUCAAGACUUGGAGCAUAUUUGUUUCUCUCUGCCUGGUUCCUCUAGAAAUUGGAAACUAUCAGAACAGAGACCAACUCCGUUUCCCGAUCCCUUUGCAAUCUGCAUUGAACCAUGAGUCAAGUUCUUGAUAAAGGAGUGAAAAUGGAUGACAUUUAAGGCACAUCUGAAGAUGGGGAAACCACAGCACAGAAUAAGGCUGGGCCCUUGAAUCAAUAAAUGAAGGAGAACUACUCAAGAGAACAAAACCACCAGCAAUAUCCACCUGUAUUUGUCUUUUCAUAAUGUGUGACACAUGUGCUCAUGGAUUAUUGUCCGAAGCAAGACAUGUGACCAAGCCUAACAUCAACUGGGUGAAGAGCUAUAUGUUCCUUUCUCAAGAGGCACUACAAGUGACAUGCCACUGGGCAGCACUGUUCACAUUAUGUAAGUGAUAAAAUUGACCUAAAUAUCCAUCAAUGGACAAAUAGAUCAAGAAAACAUGAUAAACAUACACAGUGGAAUACUAUACAGCUACAAAAAGAAUGACCUUCUGUCAUUUGUGACAACGUGGAUAAACCUGCAGGACAUUCUGUUAAGUGAAAUCAACCAGGUACAGAAAAACAAAUAUUGCAUGAGCUCACUCAUAUGUGGAAUCUAAAGUAAUUUUACUCAUUGACCAACCUCUUUCCAUCCCCCAUCCCCUUUUCUCUCCUCAACCUCUGGUAACUGCUGUUCUACUCUUUAUUUCUAUGAGACCACAGUUACAGUUAGAUAGGAAGAAUAAAUUCUGGUGUUCUAUUACAUAGCAGAGUGACUACAGCUAAAAAUAGUGUAUUAUAUAUUUCAAUAUAGCUAGAGAAGAAGAUCUUGAAUGUUAUCACCACAAAGAAAUGAUAAUGCUGUGGUAAUGGGUAUGUUAAUUAUCCUGAUAUGAUCAUUAAACAAUGCAUAUAUCUAUUGAAACAUCACAGUAUACCCCCAAACAUGUACAAUUAUUGUGUCAAUUAUAAACAAAAAUAAGAAAGAAAAUUCAGAAGGAGGGAUUUUUUUUUAAUCUUGUCCUUUUUUGUUCACA